AACGCGAAGAACCUUACCUGGGCUCGAACGGCUUCCCAACGGCGUUGGAAACAGCGCUAUCCCGCAAGGGAGUGGAGUCGAGGUGCUGCAUGGCUGUCGUCAGCUCGUGUCGUGAGAUGUUGGGUUAAGUCCCGCAACGAGCGCAACCCUUGUCCUGUGUUGCCAUGCCGCAAGGCGGCACUCGCAGGAGACCGCCAGCGAUAAGCUGGAGGAAGGUGGGGAUGACGUCAAGUCCUCAUGGCCUUUAUGUCCAGGGCUACACACGUGCUACAAUGGUCGGUACAAAGCGCUGCAAACCCGCGAGGGGGAGCUAAUCGCAAAAAGCCGGCCUCAGUUCGGAUUGCAGGCUGCAACUCGCCUGCAUGAAGCUGGAACCGCUAGUAAUGCCGUAUCAGAACGAUGGCGUGAAUACGUUCCCGGGCCUUGUACACACCGACGCGUA
Molecule: ribosomal RNA, 442 nt
Filed under: uncultured bacterium
Lineage: Bacteria
Description: bacterial SSU rRNA
Rfam family: Bacterial small subunit ribosomal RNA
Source: RNAcentral